Long non-coding RNA from Oncorhynchus nerka (sockeye salmon), 604 nucleotides. RefSeq lists it as uncharacterized. NCBI's taxonomy places the organism in Eukaryota, Metazoa, Chordata, Actinopteri, Salmoniformes, Salmonidae. The transcript is spliced from 2 exons. The record is from RefSeq and is a predicted model, not a curated record.
AACAUCAGAGCAGAGGUGAAAAAAGCAGACUACUGCAACCUGAUUGUCUGAACGAGAUACGCAACAUUCAGGACUAGCAUUAGCUAAUCUAGCAUGUUUGUGGGAAAUGAAAUGCUGUUUCAUAAAGAAAGUAUGCAUAUUUUCCCAUCUUCUCGCCAUUAAAUCGAGGAUACGAGUGUAAAGCCGUCUGCAUGCAUUCCCUUUGGACGAGAGCUACCCUGUGAUUAAAGCCGAGGCGUUGAUUCCACCCUGACUCUUCCGUUGUCUCUCCCGAGUGACUGUAAACCUCAACACCAUUAUCUCUGUCGUAAUCCAAAUCUCAUCUCCCGUUCUCUCGGCUGCCACUGUUGUUUAUCUCCUCACAAAGACAGAGAGACUCUGCUACUCAGGCAGAGGGACUACCAGGGACGGAUGGAUAACUAGAGCACGAGUGUAUUCAUUAGCACACACCCUAGAAAACAAGCGUUUCUGUAAAAAUGUUUGUUUUGUUUAAGUUUGUUUCCAUUUGAUACACCUCAGAGCUCUCUUUCAUUCUUUGUGUGUUAUAGCUCUUGCAGGUUGCUAAGUAUUAAAAUGGGCGGGGCCAGCGCUACUGAAACAUGAA